GCGGAGGAAAAGAAACCAACCGGGAUUGCCUUAGUAACGGCGAGUGAAGCGGCAAAAAGCUCAAAUUUGAAAUCUGGUACCUUCGGUGCCCGAGUUGUAAUUUGGAGAGGGCAACUUUGGGGCCGUUCCUUGUCUAUGUUCCUUGGAACAGGACGUCAUAGAGGGUGAGAAUCCCGUGUGGCGAGGAGUGCGGUUCUUUGUAAAGUGCCUUCGAAGAGUCGAGUUGUUUGGGAAUGCAGCUCUAAGUGGGUGGUAAAUUCCAUCUAAAGCUAAAUAUUGGCGAGAGACCGAUAGCGAACAAGUACAGUGAUGGAAAGAUGAAAAGAACUUUGAAAAGAGAGUGAAAAAGUACGUGAAAUUGUUGAAAGGGAAGGGCAUUUGAUCAGACAUGGUGUUUUGUGCCCUCUGCUCCUUGUGGGUAGGGGAAUCUCGCAUUUCACUGGGCCAGCAUCAGUUUUGGUGGCAGGAUAAAUCCAUAGGAAUGUAGCUUGCCUCGGUAAGUAUUAUAGCCUGUGGGAAUACUGCCAGCUGGGACUGAGGACUGCGACGUAAGUCAAGGAUGCUGGCAUAAUGGUUAUAUGCCGCCCGUCUUG
RNAcentral lists this ribosomal RNA (593 nucleotides) under Saccharomyces cerevisiae (brewer's yeast). RNAcentral describes it as "eukaryotic LSU rRNA". It matches the Rfam family "Eukaryotic large subunit ribosomal RNA", at positions 50 to 656 of the family's 3401-position model. The record is from RNAcentral. Lineage: Eukaryota; Fungi; Ascomycota; Saccharomycetes; Saccharomycetales; Saccharomycetaceae.